GAGUCUAUAGCUUAAAGGUUAGAGCGUACGCCUUGAUAAGCGUAAGGUUGGUUGUUCGAAUCAACCUAGACUCA
This 74-nucleotide transfer RNA is filed under the name Grateloupia filicina. RNAcentral describes it as "tRNA-Ile". It matches the Rfam family "tRNA". Rfam says of the family: Transfer RNA (tRNA) molecules are approximately 80 nucleotides in length. Their secondary structure includes four short double-helical elements and three loops (D, anti-codon, and T loops). Lineage: Eukaryota; Rhodophyta; Florideophyceae; Halymeniales; Halymeniaceae. RNAcentral also lists the same sequence under 1 other name. The record is from RNAcentral.